UACGGGAGGCAGCAGUGGGGAAUAUUGGACAAUGGGCGCAAGCCUGAUCCAGCCAUGCCGCGUGAGUGAUGAAGGCCUUAGGGUUGUAAAGCUCUUUCAGUGGGGAAGAUAAUGACGGUACCCACAGAAGAAGCCCCGGCUAACUUCGUGCCAGCAGCCGCGGUAAUACGAAGGGGGCUAGCGUUGUUCGGAUUUACUGGGCGUAAAGCGCACGUAGGCGGAUAUUUAAGUCAGGGGUGAAAUCCUGGAGCUCAACUCCAGAACUGCCUUUUGAUACUGGAUAUCUAGAGUCCGGAAGAGGUGAGUGGAACUCCUAGUGUAGAGGUGGAAUUCGUAGAUAUUAGGAAGAACACCAGUGGCGAAGGCGGCUCACUGGUCCGGUACUGACGCUGAGGGUGCGAAAGCGUGGGGAGCAAACAGGGAUUAGAUACC
Molecule: ribosomal RNA, 432 nt
Filed under: uncultured bacterium
Lineage: Bacteria
Description: bacterial SSU rRNA
Rfam family: Bacterial small subunit ribosomal RNA
Source: RNAcentral